Molecule: ribosomal RNA, 253 nt
Filed under: uncultured bacterium
Lineage: Bacteria
Description: partial 16S ribosomal RNA
Rfam family: Bacterial small subunit ribosomal RNA
Source: RNAcentral
UACAGAGGGUGCGAGCGUUGUUCGGAAUUACUGGGCGUAAAGGGCUCGUAGGCGGCCAACUAAGUCAGACGUGAAAUCCCUCGGCUUAACCGGGGAACUGCGUCUGAUACUGGAUGGCUUGAAUCCGGGAGAGGGAUGCGGAAUUCCAGGUGUAGCGGUGAAAUGCGUAGAUAUCUGGAGGAACACCGGUGGCGAAGGCGGCAUCCUGGACCGGCAUUGACGCUGAGGAGCGAAAGCCAGGGGAGCAAACGGG